This 253-nucleotide ribosomal RNA is filed under the name uncultured bacterium. Its description in RNAcentral is "partial 16S ribosomal RNA". It matches the Rfam family "Bacterial small subunit ribosomal RNA", at positions 524 to 776 of the family's 1533-position model. The record is from RNAcentral.
UACAGAGGUCUCAACCGUUGUUCGGAUUCAUUGGGCGUAAAGGGUGCGUAGGCGGUCGCGCAAGUCGGAUGUGAAAUCUCAGGGCUCAACCCUGAAACUGCAUUCGAUACUGCGUGGCUAGAGUGCCGGAGGGGAGACUGGAAUUUACGGUGUAGCAGUGAAAUGCGUAGAUAUCGUAAGGAAGACCAGUGGCGAAGGCGAGUCUCUGGACAGCAACUGACGCUGAGGCACGAAGGCCAGGGGAGCAAACGGG